AUUGAACGCUGGCGGCAUGCUUUACACAUGCAAGUCGAACGGCAGCGCGGGCUUCGGCCUGGCGGCGAGUGGCGAACGGGUGAGUAAUGCAUCGGAACGUGCCCAGUAGUGGGGGAUAGCCCGGCGAAAGCCGGAUUAAUACCGCAUACGACCUGAGGGUGAAAGCGGGGGACCGAAAGGCCUCGCGCUAUUGGAGCGGCCGAUGUCGGAUUAGCUAGUUGGUGGGGUAAAGGCUUACCAAGGCGACGAUCCGUAGCUGGUCUGAGAGGACGACCAGCCACACUGGAACUGAGACACGGCCCAGACUCCUACGGGAGGCAGCAGUGGGGAAUUUUGGACAAUGGGGGCAACCCUGAUCCAGCCAUGCCGCGUGCGGGAAGAAGGCCUUCGGGUUGUAAAACGCUUUUGUUCGGGAAGAAAUACUGUGGGCUAAUACCCCGGGGGGAUGACGGUACCGGAAGAAUAAGCACCGGCUAACUACGUG
RNAcentral lists this ribosomal RNA (484 nucleotides) under uncultured bacterium. RNAcentral describes it as "partial 16S ribosomal RNA". It matches the Rfam family "Bacterial small subunit ribosomal RNA", at positions 29 to 507 of the family's 1533-position model. The record is from RNAcentral.